AUUGAACGCUGGCGGCAGGCCUAACACAUGCAAGUCGAACGGUAACAGGCAGAAGCUUUCUUCUUUGCUGACGAGUGGCGGACGGGUGAGUCAUGUCUGGGAAACUGCCUGAUGUAGGGGGAUAACUACUGGAAACGGUAGCUACUACCGCAUAACGUCUCAAGACCAAAGAGGGGGACCUUCUGGCCUCUUGCCAUCGGAUGUGCCCAGCUGGGAUUAGCUAGUAGGUGGGGUAACGUCUCACCUAGGCGACGAUCCCUAGCUGGUCUGAGAGGAUGACCAGCCACACUGGAACUGAGACACGGUCCAGACUCCUACGGGAGGCAGCAGUGGGGAAUAUUGCACAAUGGGCGCAAGCAUGAUGCAGCCAUGCCGCGUGUAUGAAGAAGGCCUUCGGGUUGUAAAGUACUUUCAGCGGGGAGGAAGGGAGUAAAGUUAAUACCAUGGCUCAUUGACGUUACCCGCAGAAGAAGCACCGGCUAACUCCGUG
RNAcentral lists this ribosomal RNA (490 nucleotides) under uncultured bacterium. Its description in RNAcentral is "partial 16S ribosomal RNA". It matches the Rfam family "Bacterial small subunit ribosomal RNA", at positions 30 to 507 of the family's 1533-position model. The record is from RNAcentral.